This 306-nucleotide unclassified non-coding RNA is filed under the name plant metagenome. RNAcentral describes it as "partial contains 5.8S ribosomal RNA, internal transcribed spacer 2, and large subunit ribosomal RNA". The stretch from base 1 to 105 matches the Rfam family "5.8S ribosomal RNA", at positions 50 to 154 of the family's 154-position model. The record is from RNAcentral.
GAAAUGCGAUAAGUAAUGUGAAUUGCAGAAUUCAGUGAAUCAUCGAAUCUUUGAACGCACAUUGCGCCCGCCAGUAUUCUGGCGGGCAUGCCUGUCCGAGCGUCAUUUCAACCAUCAAGCCCCCGGGCUUGUGUUGGGGACCUGCGGCUGCCCGCAGGCCCUGAAAACCAGUGGCGGGCUCGCUGUCGCACCGAGCGUAGUAGCAAUCACCUCGCUCAGGGCGUGCUGCGGGUUCCGGCCGUUAAACAGCCUUACAAAACCCAAGGUUGACCUCGGAUCAGGUAGGAAGACCCGCUGAACUUAAGC